RNAcentral lists this long non-coding RNA (207 nucleotides) under Citrus sinensis (sweet orange). Its description in RNAcentral is "long non-coding RNA (CSIN_LNC003180)". Lineage: Eukaryota; Viridiplantae; Streptophyta; Magnoliopsida; Sapindales; Rutaceae. The record is from RNAcentral.
GGGACUUACAUUAUUACAAUGAAUUCUAUGAAGUACAUGCCCAAGACAAAUAACCCCUCACAGGAGAGGAUGUCCAUACUCCACUUGCAUUUCGCAAGGGAGAAGGAUGUUUAAAUAUAAAGAACAUUUAGCCCCCACAAUGCUUUUGUGGGGGCUAGAACCAAUGCCCUCACAAUGCUUGUGAGGGCAGCAGCCCACCACUUCGGC